AGGUGGAAUCUUCAACUCAAUAUCCAGUAUGCGGCCAUACUUGUAAAAUAGAUCUUCAACUUCCCCUUCUCUUAUAUCUGAUGGCAAGUUGCCAACAUAAAUUGUCCGAGAAAAGCGGCCACUCAUUUCUGCUACCACAGGAAUAUAGCAAAGCUUUCACUGCAAAGAGCAAAUCAAUCACAUAAAUAGAGAAAAACUUCCUCAACUUUUCAGAAAUACAGCAACUCCAUUCACUCCUGAUCCAUUUAUCAUCAGCAUUCUGACGAUAGUGAAAUUAGCAAAACCAAAAACUAUGAAGCAAACCAAGUGAGCAAUCCUCCAUGUGAGCGGUGCUCCAAAAGCUCCAUUGCUCAUUUGCUCCAAGAUGCUCCAAAGCUAUAACAAAUUUGAAAUUUAUUUUGAUCUCCUCAUCCUCCCCUGAAUUUUUGCAGGCGUAUAGUUCUUCUGAGGGUGAGCAACAAUCUCCAUUUAUAAAAAAUAAUACCCAUUAGUCCACCCUGAUUCUCCCACUCCCUCUCUAUAUCCCUAUGUAUGAUUGCAAAGCUCAAAUUUGUCCAAGCGCUUGUCAUCUAUCAUAAAGAAAGCAUUUGUGUCAUGAGAUCAGGUAAGCUUGACAUAUAUUUAUGCAUUCACCUUGCUCAGUUCUCUUUUUCAACAAUUUGAAGAAAAAAAAUCCCGGAAAAUAGAUAUAGCAUCCCCCAGUUCCAUUAAUUUUUGUCAAACAAUGAAACUCCAAAACAAAUCAUCUUCAGGGAGAGAAGGGGGGACAUGUUACUUUGUCAACCUGUCAUUUAAAUUUUCCUUUUGGUAAUAGAGCAGAGCUUUAUUGACAAACAACACAGGCAUGAUGUGAAUCAAGAAAACUUUGGCCUGUAGCGUUCAAUAUAUAAUGGAUAGAUAUAAGUUGUGUAGUCAUUUUUACUGAAAUUUUAUUUAUUAGCACAGCUGGUGCUUUGCAGAUCCAGAAAUACUUAUCACUAAGCGCAAAAUUUGUGUAUAUAGCUAUAUAUGUGUGUAUAUAUAGGUGGCUAUAUAUUUACUCAACCAAAAAAAGAUAAAUAUCUACAGAAAUGGGCGGGGAUCAAUGGGGGCACUUGCCACCAUUUCUCCCAAUGCGGAUCCGCCACUAAGCACAGCUAUGGAAUAACCUAAAUUGAUAAUAUACUGGAAUUCCCUAUUUUCAUAAUACUAAUUAAAGAAAUAGUAAUACCCAAUGUAGCUGAUAUGAAUCUGGGUGCCCUCCUAUGAUACUUAUACAUCUGCUACCAAAACUUAAAAUCAUUUUGCAACAACCAUAAUACCAUGUGCAAGACAGCAAUAAAUGAAAACUAGCGUCAGGUACAUCUAUCACUGAGCUUGAGUAAUCAAAGUGAGUGCCUUUGAAUAUGGCUCUCAUAUAGCAAUACGCUCAAUUUCACUGAACUCUCGUUUAUCAUCAAGAAUUCUUCUUUGACCAUAUCUGUUAACUUAAUCCACUAAUGUCCUCUAAGUAGAAAAUUACUUACAUUGCAAAGAGAGAGAGAGAGAGAG
RNAcentral lists this unclassified non-coding RNA (1530 nucleotides) under Hevea brasiliensis (rubber tree). The record is from RNAcentral. Lineage: Eukaryota; Viridiplantae; Streptophyta; Magnoliopsida; Malpighiales; Euphorbiaceae.